RNAcentral lists this ribosomal RNA (1205 nucleotides) under metagenome. RNAcentral describes it as "bacterial SSU rRNA". It matches the Rfam family "Bacterial small subunit ribosomal RNA", at positions 295 to 1498 of the family's 1533-position model. The record is from RNAcentral.
AGGGGUUGGCCCGCCACAUCGGGACUGAGACACUGCCCGGACCUCCACGGAGGGCUGCAGUAACGAAUAUUGCGCAAUGGGCGAAAGCCUGACGCAGCGACGCCGCGUGUAGGAUGAAGCUUCUCGGAGUGUAAACUACUGUCAGGGGUUAGAAAGUGUACUUCGGUACAUUGAUCACCCCCAGAGGAAGUCACGGCUAACUUCGUGCCAGCAGCCGCGGUAAUACGAAGGUGGCAAGCGUUGUUCGGAAUCACUGGGCUUAAAGCGCACGCAGGCGGAAUAGUAAGUGUUUUGUGAAAUCCCUCGGCUUAACCGAGGAAUUGCUUGGCAUACUGCUAUUCUUGAGGCAAGUAGGGGUGCAUGGAACUCUUGGUGGAGCGGUGGAAUGCGUAGAUAUCAAGAGGAACGCCGAAGGUGAAGACAGUGCACUGGGCUUGUCCUGACGCUGAGGUGCGAAAGCGUGGGGAGCGAACGGGAUUAGAUACCCCGGUAGUCCACGCCGUAAACGAUGUCUACUAGGUUGUGGAGGUUCUGACACCCUCACGGCCGAAGCAAAAGUGUUAAGUAGACCGCCUGGGGAGUACGGUCGCAAGGCUAAAACUCAAAGGAAUUGACGGGGGCUCACACAAGCGGUGGAGCAUGUGGAUUAAUUCGAAUCAACGCGCAGAACCUUACCAGGGUUUGACAUGCUUGGAUGCUUGCUGGGAAACCGGUUAAGCUGCCCUCGGGUGAAACUUGCACAGGUGCUGCAUGGCUGUCGUCAGCUCGUGUCGUGAGAUGUCGGGUUAAGUCCUUUAACGAGCGAAACCCUUACCGUUAGUUGCCAGCGCGUCAUGGCGGGGACUCUAGCGGACUGCCGGUGUCAAACCGGAGGAGGGCGGGGAUGACGUCAAGUCCUCAUGGCCUUUAUGCCCUGGGCUUCACACGUGCUACAAUGCGACUACAGAGCGAAGCGAGACCGCGAGGUGGAGCAAAUCGCAAAAAAAGUCGCCUCAGUUCGGAUUGCAGGCUGUCAACUCGCCUGCAUGAAGUUGGAAUCGCUAGUAAUCGCGUAUCAGCUACGACGCGGUGAAUGUGUUCCUGAGCCUUGUACACACCGCCCGUCAAGUGAUGGGAGUCGGGAGUACCCGAAGUCGGAUUGUUAACCUUUUAGGAAACGUCUGCCUACGGUAGCUCGAUGACUGGCACUAAGUCGCAACAAGGUA